Tupaia belangeri chinensis (Chinese tree shrew) is the source of this 868-nucleotide long non-coding RNA. RefSeq lists it as uncharacterized. The record is from RefSeq and is a predicted model, not a curated record. Lineage: Eukaryota; Metazoa; Chordata; Mammalia; Scandentia; Tupaiidae. The transcript is spliced from 4 exons.
ACAAGACUCAGAGGCAUGAAGUGCAAGACAAAGGUUUCAAAAUGAGCAAGUGUCUUCCAUGGAAGCGCUCUGUAUCCUAAGCCGAAAAACUGGGGACAAGCAGGCACACAUUCCUGUCAUUCCCUGGACUCCAAGUUCGGGUCCUGUGUGGACACCAUCUACCCACCAGAACCUCACUUCCAUCUUGACUUCAGAGCCCAAGUUAAAUCAGCGAUCGUUGGUGUCUUAGUUCAUUCAGGCUGCUUAAACAAAAUUUCAUAGACCGAGUGCCUUAUAAACAGAAAUUUAUUUCUCACAGUUCUGAAGGCUGGGAAGUCCAAGAUCAAGGAGCCUACAGAUUCAGCGUCUGGAGAAGACUCACUUCCUCACAUGGACAGCCACCUUCUCACUGUAACCUGAGUGAUGGAAGGGGCGAGGAAUUUCUCCGGGGUCUCUUUCAUAAGGGCACCAACGACACUCAUGAGAGCUCUGCCCUCAUGACAUAACCACCUCUCAAAUCUCACUCCCCAAAACCACCACCUCGGGGUGUAGGAUUUCUACACGUGGACCAUAGCCCGUCUACAGGAGGCUGACCUUGAAAGAUUUCCUAUGGGCACCUCUGCUCUCUGGCUCCUGCUGGACUCAGCCGUGAGAGAGGAACCAAUGAGAAAUUGGCAGGAGGGAGAAGGGCCCUGCCUGAUGGGAGUCAUCUCUGAGAACAAACCCCUGGAGGUCACAGGACGAGGCCACGAAGGCAGCCACCCUGAUCUUCCCAUGGACGGUGUGAGCGCAGAACUCGAGGGAGGUCACUAGGCACAAGAAAACACAAGCGCCUACGUGUAGAAGCUGGCUCAGAGGCCGGGCUUCGGGGAUUUUCCAAAUGGUUGCC